RNAcentral lists this ribosomal RNA (635 nucleotides) under uncultured Actinomycetes bacterium. RNAcentral describes it as "bacterial SSU rRNA". It matches the Rfam family "Bacterial small subunit ribosomal RNA", at positions 848 to 1482 of the family's 1533-position model. The record is from RNAcentral. Lineage: Bacteria; Bacillati; Actinomycetota; Actinomycetes.
GUAGCUAACGCAUUAAGUGCCCCGCCUGGGGAGUACGGCCGCAAGGCUAAAACUCAAAGGAAUUGACGGGGGCCCGCACAAGCGGCGGAGCAUGCGGAUUAAUUCGAUGCAACGCGAAGAACCUUACCAAGGCUUGACAUGUGCCAGACCGCCGUGGAAACACGGUUUCCCCUUUGGGGCUGGUUCACAGGUGGUGCAUGGUUGUCGUCAGCUCGUGUCGUGAGAUGUUGGGUUAAGUCCCGCAACGAGCGCAACCCUCGUUCCAUGUUGCCAGCGGGUCGUGCCGGGGACUCAUGGGAGACUGCCGGGGUCAACUCGGAGGAAGGUGGGGACGACGUCAAGUCCUCAUGGCCUUUAUGUCCAGGGCUACACACGUGCUACAAUGGAUGGUACAACGGGCUGCGACGCCGCGAGGCUGAGCUAAUCCCUGAAAGCCAUCCUCAGUACGGAUUGCAGUCUGCAACUCGACUGCAUGAAGGUGGAAUCGCUAGUAAUCCCGGAUCAGCAUGCCGGGGUGAAUACGUUCCCGGGCCUUGUACACACCGCCCGUCACAUCACGAAAGUCGGUUUACCGGAAGGGGGUGGGCUGACCCGCAAGGGGGGCAGCCGUCCCUUAAUGGCCGGCGAUUGGGGUG